CCUACGGGUGGCAGCAGUGAGGAAUAUUGGACAAUGGGCGCGAGCCUGAACCAGCCAAGCCGCGUGAGGGAUGAAGGUUCUAUGGAUCGUAAACCCCUUUUAUAAGGGAAUAAAGUGUGGGACGUGUCCGAUUUUGUAUGUACCUUAUGAAUAAGGAUCGGCUAACUCCGUGCCAGCAGCCGCGGUAAGACGGAGGCUCCGCGCGUUAUCCGGAUUUAAUGGGUUUAAAGGGUGCGUAGGCGGCCUUUUAAGUCCGCGGUGAAAGUCUGUGGCGCAACCAUAGAACUGCCGUUGAAACUGGGGGGCUUGAGUAUGUUUGAGGCAGGCGGAAUGCCUUGUGUAGCGGUGAAAUUCUUAGAUAUCACGCAGAACCCCGAUUGCGAAGGCAGCCUGCCAGGCCAUGACUGACGCUGAUGCACGAAAGCGUGGGGAUCACACAGGAUUAGCUACCCCUGUAGUC
Molecule: ribosomal RNA, 460 nt
Filed under: uncultured bacterium
Lineage: Bacteria
Description: partial 16S ribosomal RNA
Rfam family: Bacterial small subunit ribosomal RNA
Source: RNAcentral